UACGUAGGCAGCGAGCGUUGUUCGGAGUUACUGGGCGUAAAGCGUGCGUAGGCGGUUUUGUAAGUUUGGUGUGAAAUCUCCCGGCUCAACUGGGAGGGUGCGCCGAAAACUGCAAGGCUGGAGUGUGGGAGAGGUAGGCGGAAUUCCUGGUGUAGCGGUGAAAUGCGUAGAUAUCAGGAGGAACACCUGUGGUGUAGACGGCUUACUGGACCAUGACUGACGCUGAGACGCGAAAGCUAGGGGAGCGAACAGG
Molecule: ribosomal RNA, 253 nt
Filed under: uncultured bacterium
Lineage: Bacteria
Description: partial 16S ribosomal RNA
Rfam family: Bacterial small subunit ribosomal RNA
Source: RNAcentral